Molecule: long non-coding RNA, 551 nt
Filed under: Fukomys damarensis (Damara mole-rat)
Lineage: Eukaryota; Metazoa; Chordata; Mammalia; Rodentia; Bathyergidae
Description: lncRNA (ENSFDAG00000026117.1)
Source: RNAcentral
CUCCUAAGGCAGGAGGAGGGUCUGGCGGAGGAGGGAGCUGGGUGGAGCGGAAGCUUUCCAAGGUGUGUGUGUUGGGGGUGAGGGCCAAGGAACAGCUGCGGGACCUAGCAAAAGUUAAGUUGGUGGUGGUGUUAUCGGACACGGUUUUAGGAGAAAGUCGGAAGAAGCCAGACCAUCUAAGCCCCGGGACAAGGCUGGUGUCAGUUCCAGGCUGUCCCAGAAUUGAAGACAGCACUCUCUGGCUCCGUAUGCAGGACUUUAGGAACUGUUUUGCCAGUGUGUUCUGGGACUUUGCAAUUAACAGAUCAUGCCCUCUUCCCCAGCCAACCUGCCACAUCCUAAUCUCCUGCCUCAAAGGGAAGCCCCAAGGAGAAGGUGGUUGAUUGUCUGCAAGCCAGGACACCAACCCAUGCCUAUCAGCACCUUGAUCACGGGCUUCUAACCUCCACAGCCGUAAGAAAAGAAGUGUCUGUCAUUUAAGCCACCAAGUCUAGGGUGUUUGAAUCCAGCAGCUGGAGUCGACACACGGACACACUCAAGCACAAACACAU